This 363-nucleotide unclassified non-coding RNA is filed under the name uncultured Gaiellales bacterium. Its description in RNAcentral is "contains 16S-23S intergenic spacer region". Lineage: Bacteria; Bacillati; Actinomycetota; Thermoleophilia; Gaiellales. The record is from RNAcentral.
UCCGGUUUGAAACCGGCGGUCCCGGUAGACAUAGUAACUACCAGCGAGGGUUGCGCUCGUUGCGGGACUUAACCCAACACCUCACGACACGAGCUGACGACAGCCAUGCACCACCUGUGCACCGGCCCCGAAGGGCUGCCGUAUUUCUACGGCAUUCCAGUGCAUGUCAAGCCUUGGUAAGGUUCUUCGCGUUGCGUCGAAUUGAACCACAUGCUCCGCUGCUUGCGCGGGCCCCCGUCAAUUCCUUUGAGUUUUAGCCUUGCGGCCGUACUCCCCAGGCGGGGUGCUUAAUGCGUUAGCUUCGGCACGGACGGGGUUGAUAUCCGCCCACACCUAGUGGUCAUCGUUUACUGCUGGGACUAC